This 440-nucleotide ribosomal RNA is filed under the name uncultured bacterium. RNAcentral's name for it is "partial 16S ribosomal RNA". It matches the Rfam family "Bacterial small subunit ribosomal RNA", at positions 339 to 795 of the family's 1533-position model. The record is from RNAcentral.
CUACGGGGGGCAGCAGUGGGGAAUAUUGCACAAUGGGGGAAACCCUGAUGCAGCAACGCCGCGUGGGGGAUGACGCAUUUCGGUGUGUAAACUCCUUUUAUAUCCCAAGAUAAUGACGGUAGGAUAUGAAUAAGCACCGGCUAACUCCGUGCCAGCAGCCGCGGUAAUACGGAGGGUGCAAGCGUGUACUCGGAAUCACUGGGCGUAAAGGGCGCGUAGGCGGGUUGUCAAGUCUUGAGUGAAAUCCAACGGCUCAACCGUUGAACUGCUUGAGAAACUGGCAGCCUAGAGUGAGGGAGAGGUAGAUGGAAUUGGUGGUGUAGGGGUAAAAUCCGUAGAGAUCACCAGGAAUACCCAUUGCGAAGGCGAUCUGCUGGAACUCUACUGACGCUGAGGCGCGAAAGCGUGGGGAGCAAACAGGAUUAGAUACCCCUGUAGUC